Molecule: ribosomal RNA, 402 nt
Filed under: uncultured prokaryote
Description: bacterial SSU rRNA
Rfam family: Bacterial small subunit ribosomal RNA
Source: RNAcentral
UAGGGAAUAUUAGAAAUGGACGAAAGUCUGAUCUAGCAACACCGCGUGUGCGAAGAAGGCCUUCGGGUCGUAAAGCACUUUUUGGAAGGAAUAGAAAGGAAUGUACUUCCAGAAUAAGUCUCGGCUAACUACGUGCCAGCAGCCGCGGUAACACGUAGGAGGCAAACGUUAUCCGGAUUUACUGGGCGUAAAGCGCGUGUAGGUGGUACGGUAAGUAGGGCGUGAAAGCUCCUGGCUCAACUGGGAGAGGCCGGUCUAAACUACAGAACUAGAGGAUGGUAGAGGGAGGUGGAAUUCCAGGUGUAGCGGUGGAAUGCGUAGAUAUCUGGAGGAACACCGGUGGCGAAGGCGGCCUCCUGGACCAUUCCUGACACUCAGACGCGAAAGCUAGGGUAGCAAACG